RNAcentral lists this transfer RNA (70 nucleotides) under Curculionoidea sp. 17 KM-2017. RNAcentral's name for it is "tRNA-Lys". The record is from RNAcentral. Lineage: Eukaryota; Metazoa; Arthropoda; Insecta; Coleoptera.
CAUUAGAUGGCUGAAUGUAAGUAAUGGUCUCUUAAACCAAUUUAUAGUAGAGUAACGUCUACUUCUAAUG